UGUGUAGAGAAAAAAAAACGCCGCUGCCUGCUACCGCAUCCACCUUUACUAAAGAAUCUACGUCAGUGUGGCCUUGUAUGACUGAUAUCACUAAACAAGAUAACAGUCAGCAACUCUGCAGCCUCUUGGCACACUUUCGUACAACAAAUACUGUCACUGCAUUUGGACCUGCCACCUCUCCAAUCUCCCCUGGUGCCUCAGGAACAUGCCUGGGCAGGAUCCAUUCACAUGCUGAGGCAAGACACCACCAGGAGCCACUGAGAAACUGACUGACAUCCCACCGAGAGACCAGGCUGAGAGCUGUAAGGAGCCAUCGAGUGACCGACCAACCCGCCACCGAGAGACCAGUCUGAGACCUGUCAUGGGGCAGAUGAGCAGCAAGGAACAGGCCCACCAUCUUUGAGCCAGUCACCGUGCCAUUCUAAAGUAAUACCAUCUGCCAUUGGGCGUGCAUCACCAGCAUUUAUUGCCUAUCCC
Non-coding RNA from Chiloscyllium plagiosum (whitespotted bambooshark), 477 nucleotides. NCBI's taxonomy places the organism in Eukaryota, Metazoa, Chordata, Chondrichthyes, Orectolobiformes, Hemiscylliidae. The record is from RefSeq and is a predicted model, not a curated record.